This 460-nucleotide ribosomal RNA is filed under the name uncultured bacterium. Its description in RNAcentral is "partial 16S ribosomal RNA". It matches the Rfam family "Bacterial small subunit ribosomal RNA", at positions 338 to 795 of the family's 1533-position model. The record is from RNAcentral.
CCUACGGGUGGCAGCAGUGAGGAAUAUUGGUCAAUGGGCGGAAGCCUGAACCAGCCAAGUCGCGUGAGGGAUUAAGGCCCUGCGGGUCGUAAACCUCUUUUGCCGGGGAGCAGUGGUCCGGACGCGUCCGGACCGGGAGAGUACCCGGAGAAAAAGCAUCGGCUAACUCCGUGCCAGCAGCCGCGGUAAUACGGAGGAUGCGAGCGUUAUCCGGAUUUAUUGGGUUUAAAGGGUGCGUAGGCGGGCAUUUAAGCCGGCGGUAAAAUGUCGGGGCUCAACCCCGGCCUGCCGUUGAAACUGGCUGUCUUGAGAUGUCGAGAGGUAUGCGGAAUGCGCAGUGUAGCGGUGAAAUGCUUAGAUAUUGCGCAGAACUCCGAUUGCGAAGGCAGCAUACCGGCGGCGAUCUGACGCUGAGGCACGAAAGCGUGGGUAUCGAACAGGAUUAGAUACCCUGGUAGUC